UACGGAGGAUGCAAGCGUUAUCCGGAAUUAUUGGGCGUAAAGCGUCCGCAGGUGGCUGUGUAAGUCUGCUGUUAAAGAGUCUAGCUCAACUAGAUAAAAGCAGUGGAAACUACACGGCUAGAGUACGUUCGGGGCAGAGGGAAUUCCUGGUGUAGCGGUGAAAUGCGUAGAGAUCAGGAAGAACACCAGUGGCGAAGGCGCUCUGCUAGGCCGUAACUGACACUGAGGGACGAAAGCUAGGGGAGCGAAUGGG
Molecule: ribosomal RNA, 253 nt
Filed under: uncultured bacterium
Lineage: Bacteria
Description: partial 16S ribosomal RNA
Rfam family: Bacterial small subunit ribosomal RNA
Source: RNAcentral